UGGGGAAUAUUGCACAAUGGGCGCAAGCCUGAUGCAGCCAUGCCGCGUGUGUGAAGAAGGCCUUCGGGUUGUAAAGCACUUUCAGCGAGGAGGAAGGUGGUGAACUUAAUACGUUCAUCAAUUGACGUUACUCGCAGAAGAAGCACCGGCUAACUCCGUGCCAGCAGCCGCGGUAAUACGGAGGGUGCAAGCGUUAAUCGGAAUUACUGGGCGUAAAGCGCACGCAGGCGGUUUUGUUAAGUCAGAUGUGAAAUCCCCGGGCUCAACCUGGGAACUGCAUUUGAAACUGGCAAGCUAGAGUCUCGUAGAGGGGGGUAGAAUUCCAGGUGUAGCGGUGAAAUGCGUAGAGAUCUGGAGGAAUACCGGUGGCGAAGCGGCCCCCUGGACGAAGACUGACGCUCAGGUGCGAAAGCGUGGGGCAGCAAACA
RNAcentral lists this ribosomal RNA (428 nucleotides) under uncultured bacterium. Its description in RNAcentral is "partial 16S ribosomal RNA". It matches the Rfam family "Bacterial small subunit ribosomal RNA", at positions 355 to 774 of the family's 1533-position model. The record is from RNAcentral.